UACGUAGGGUGCAAGCGUUGUCCGGAAUUAUUGGGCGUAAAGAGCUCGUAGGCGGUCUGUCACGUCGGACGUGAAAAUCCAGGGCUCAACCCUGGACCUGCGUUCGAUACGGGCAGACUAGAGUUCGGUAGGGGAGACUGGAAUUCCUGGUGUAGCGGUGAAAUGCGCAGAUAUCAGGAGGAACACCAGUGGCGAAGGCGGUGGUCUGGGCCGGAACUGACGCUGUAGAGCGAAAGCGUGGGGAGCGAACAGG
RNAcentral lists this ribosomal RNA (253 nucleotides) under uncultured bacterium. Its description in RNAcentral is "partial 16S ribosomal RNA". It matches the Rfam family "Bacterial small subunit ribosomal RNA", at positions 524 to 776 of the family's 1533-position model. The record is from RNAcentral.